GCGGAUGUAGCUCAGUUGGCUAGAGCGUCUGCUUGCCAUGCAGAAGGUCGUGGGUUCGAGUCCCCUCAUCCGCU
RNAcentral lists this transfer RNA (74 nucleotides) under Actinomycetota bacterium. RNAcentral's name for it is "tRNA-Gly". It matches the Rfam family "tRNA". Rfam says of the family: Transfer RNA (tRNA) molecules are approximately 80 nucleotides in length. Lineage: Bacteria; Bacillati; Actinomycetota. The record is from RNAcentral.